CAGCCCAAACCUAUCCUGCCCCUUGGCCGCAGCCCCACAAUCCUGCCGGCCAGCGCUGCCGCAAGCUGGUUGCUGCUCCUCCCCUGGUUGCUGGCUUGCUGCUGCUGCUCCCCUGUACCUAUUGCUUAACUCAUGUCGACUAGUCGACCAUAAGUCUAGACUAGUAACAACUAGUCAAGAGUCACUACCCAGAACGACAGUCGACUCGAAAACAUUGGUUCUCCCCCAAGGUCAUGUACAUAGUUCGUAGUCUCUCUGGCAUGGN
RNAcentral lists this long non-coding RNA (265 nucleotides) under Hordeum vulgare. Its description in RNAcentral is "long non-coding RNA (HVUL_LNC014383)". The record is from RNAcentral. Lineage: Eukaryota; Viridiplantae; Streptophyta; Magnoliopsida; Poales; Poaceae.